This 877-nucleotide long non-coding RNA is filed under the name Malus domestica (apple). Its description in RNAcentral is "long non-coding RNA (MDOM_LNC011521)". The record is from RNAcentral. Lineage: Eukaryota; Viridiplantae; Streptophyta; Magnoliopsida; Rosales; Rosaceae.
GUCUUAACGUGUUGAACGGGCAAGAGACUAUAGUGUUGAAUGGGCAAGAGAAAAAACAAAGAGCUAGAGGGAAAAUCUCUUAGGAGUGAGUUCUUGGGAAAUACUGUCAAAGGUUGUAUAAGGAUUUCUGGUUUGGAUUAUGUCAAUUUAACUCAAACUGUAUUUUGUAAUAUUGUUAUUCUCAUAGUGCAGAGCAAUAUCUCUCCAGGGACGUAGGUAGAGUUUUGCCGAAUCUAUCUUUAUUUCUUUGUCUAUUUUUCAUUUAUUCAACUGUUGUUUGUUUUGAUCUGGUUGUAAUUUGAAUCUUGGUUCAGCACGGCCUAGCACAGCAUCCACACAUGUAUAACCAUUUCAUCUCCCAUUUUCUUGAUCUCGAUUACAAAAAGUGAAAACCAAAAACAAAAAAUUGAAACGAUUUUCAAGCUCCAAGUGACCAUUUAAUAACCAUUUUGUUUUCUUUUUUUCAUUUAUAUCAAAAUUAUAUACUGGUAACUGUUAUAAAUAGAAAAGUUAGAGAGAUAACCUUCAUUAGGAGAGAAGCGGAUGCAAAAUAUCACACUAUUUAGUUUCGUAACCAUAACGCAAUAGAUUGCAGGAAAGAGGAAAGGAGGGAUACUGAUAUUAUUGCUUUCAUUUCUUUUUUUUAGUUGUGCGUAGGAAUUACACAUGAAGUGCACUUUAUAUAGAGCCACAUCUGUGACAAAAAAUAAAAGCGAGGUGAUCGCUCCUUUUGAAAAUUUCAUAUAAUGACAAGCUACUACUGUAGUCUUUUUGAAAUCUUCAGAUACUAACAAGCUAAUGUUGUAGCCUUUUUGAAAUCUUCAGAUACUAACAAGCUAAUGUGGGCAUUCACUUUCAUAAUUUUACAACACUCCCC